CCUCCCGCCGCAGAGUCCGCGUCACGUGAUGAGGCGGUGUCACGUGACCUGCCUUAUCGGGGGCGGGACUUCUGUAAACUGCUAUGAAGCCGAAUUAGAAAAAGGUACUGAGGAACUUUUUGCUAUCGAGAAAACCCAAGGAGGCCUCAAAUUUCUUCCCUUCCAUUGUCCACAAUGACCUCUUGGGGCCGAACAACGCUGCGCAAGAAUCCUCUGAGCCCUGCGAUCCACAGACCUCGUAUAUACUUUGCGUCAUAAUGGGGCUUAUCAUCACCACUACGAUUGUUCACUGUUGGCAUAUAGAAAUGCUACUGAC
Callithrix jacchus (white-tufted-ear marmoset) is the source of this 316-nucleotide non-coding RNA. Lineage: Eukaryota; Metazoa; Chordata; Mammalia; Primates; Cebidae. The record is from RefSeq and is a predicted model, not a curated record.